AUUGAACGCUGGCGGCAUGCCUUACACAUGCGAGUCGAACGGCAGCGGACCUUCGGGUGCCGGCGAGUGGCGAACGGGUGAGUAAUAUAUCGGAACGUACCUUUCAGUGGGGGAUAACGUAGCGAAAGUUACGCUAAUACCGCAUAUUCUGUGAGCAGGAAAGCAGGGGAUCGCAAGACCUUGCGCUGAUUGAGCGGCCGAUAUCAGAUUAGCUAGUUGGUGAGGUAAAGGCUCACCAAGGCGACGAUCUGUAGCGGGUCUGAGAGGAUGAUCCGCCACACUGGAACUGAGACACGGUCCAGACUCCUACGGGAGGCAGCAGUGGGGAAUUUUGGACAAUGGGCGCAAGCCUGAUCCAGCCAUGCCGCGUGAGUGAAGAAGGCCUCGGUUG
This 391-nucleotide ribosomal RNA is filed under the name uncultured bacterium. Its description in RNAcentral is "bacterial SSU rRNA". It matches the Rfam family "Bacterial small subunit ribosomal RNA", at positions 30 to 425 of the family's 1533-position model. The record is from RNAcentral.